RNAcentral lists this ribosomal RNA (396 nucleotides) under uncultured bacterium. RNAcentral describes it as "partial 16S ribosomal RNA". It matches the Rfam family "Bacterial small subunit ribosomal RNA", at positions 338 to 732 of the family's 1533-position model. The record is from RNAcentral.
CCUACGGGAGGCUGCAGUGAGGAAUAUUGGUCAAUGGCCGGAAGGCUGAACCAGCCAAGCCGCGUGAAGGACGAAGGUGCAAAGCAUUGUAAACUUCUUUUGUCAAGGGACAAAAUCAGGCUCGAGAGCCUGACCGAGGGUACCUGAAGAAAAAGCAUCGGCUAACUCCGUGCCAGCAGCCGCGGUAAUACGGAGGAUGCGAGCGUUAUCCGGAUUUAUUGGGUUUAAAGGGUGCGUAGGCGGAAUUUUAAGUCAGCGGUAAAAGCUCGGGGCUCAACCCCGACGGGCCGUUGAAACUGGGUGUCUUGAGAUGUGAAGAGGUAUGCGGAAUGCGCGGUGUAGCGGUGAAAUGCUUAGAUAUUGCGCAGAACUCCGAUUGCGAAGGCAGCAUACCGG